UGUCUCCACCUGUCGUAAGGCGUGUAACCGUUCUGCUGCAGGAAGUCAUCUUUAAUGAGCUUCGCGACUUCCAGGGUGAUCUUGUCCGUCUCGGCCAGAGAAGCCUGGGGACAAAACGUAACCCAAGAUGGCCUUUCAAAAUCAUCUUUUUCCUCACCUUUCCUACAAGCUGCACUAUCUCAGCCAGGUCUUCCUCCUCCUGGAGAAUCUCCUUGGCUUUCGUCCGAAGAGGCACAAACUCAGGGAAGUGUUUAUCGUAGUAUUCAUCCAGCGCCCGGGUGUACUUGCUGUAGCUAAUCAGCCAGUUCACGGAUGGGAAGUGUUUCCUCUGAGCCAACUUCUUGUCCAGUCCCCAGAACACCUGCAAGGGCGCAAAUGCAAGUGAGUGUCAUCGUCGAGAACUGUGUCUUGUGAAUAACUGCAUCGUGAACUACUCGCCACCCCUUGCCUGGACUAUGCCCAAUGUAGCUGAUGUGACGGGAUCUGAGAAGUCUCCACCGGGGGGUGACACACUAGAAAAGUGAACCCGCUAAUUAAUCAUGCGUCACAUCAUAAGACUUAUUUAUUUGCAUCGUUUGAAAAUGAAAGCCAGCUUACGCUCCUACGAUGCUGACACUGCCUUCUCGCUCGGGGUUCCCCAGACACUUGACGCGUCCCGCUCGCUCGUAGAAGGAGGCGAGCCUGGCGCCCAGGUAGGCCGGGUAUCCGCUGUCUACACACAUGAUGACACCCAAGUCGCCGCUCACAAACGGGGAUCUCCUCUCUCUCGUCCGUGUUUGUGACAUAUAACGUGAACUCACCGGCGGGCAUUUCGGCUAAUCGGCCAGAGAUUUCUCUCAGAGCUUCGGCCCAUCGCGACGUCGAGUCGGCCAUCAUGCUCACGUUGUAACCCAUAUCCCUGAAGUAUUCAGACAGUGUGAUUCCUGCCAAAGGGAUCAGGAAAUAAACAUGAGUACCGAAGACAGUCGUGGACGACGACGAUUUUAUUUUGGCACCUGUGUAGAUCGAAGCCUCUCUGGCAGCCACGGGCAUGUUGGAUGUGUUGGCAACAAGUGCCGUUCGUUUCAUGAUGCUCUCAACUUUGCCGCCAACUUCCAUUGUGAGCUGUUGGGCAGGAUCGGUUCAAAUAUUGUGAUGGCUUGAGUUACAAAUUCAGUUUGAAUUAAAUCAAUUUGCGGUCUCGCACCAACCUCUGGGAAAUCUCGCAGCACCUCCGACAUUUCAUUCCCACGUUCUCCACAGCCAACGUAGAUGAUGACAUCACUGUUGGAGUAUUUGGACAAUGACUGGGAGAUGACGGUCUUUCCACAGCCAAAGGCACCUGGUAUAGCUGUGGUGCCUCCUUGCACGCAGCUGUUAAGUGCAACAGGCACAUUAGUUUUAUAUGUUUAGCACAAAAGCGAAACGUUUGCUUCAUGUUGAAAAAGCCUCACGGGAAAAGUGCAUCCAAGACUCUCUGACCGGUGAGCAGAGGAUGAUUGGCAGGCAGUUUUUCGGUGACUGGGCGGACCUGUCGCACCGGCCAUACCUGCACCAUGGUAAACUUCUCCUUGAUGCCUUCAAAAUCCAGUUCAAGAACCACAUCCUGAACGCAAAAGUGACAAAAGAAACUGUUGCUAAUUUCUAAUCAAACACAAAUGACAAAAGAACUUAUGGAGGGGGAAAAAAGACUUACAGAGACAUCGUAGUUUCCGGGCGGUGCCACGUAAGUGACUGUGCCCCUGCUGCGAGGCGGAAGCAUCAGUUUGUGCUGUAUCAAGGAGUUCUCAAACACCAUGCCGUAGAUGUCACCACCUGUAAUGUGACUGCCAACCUACAAGAGGUGGCAUGUAAUUAAUUCUAUCAAUUUGUUGUACAUACUGUAUGUCCAGGGGUUAUAACCUGCCUAUAUAGAAAAUGGACCAUCAACCACCACUUAACAACAUACCCGAAGACUUUGGCUUGGAGUAAACUCCCAUUUGAGGUCUCUGUUCAAGGCGCCGAUGUUCACUCCUCUUGGGAUGUAGAUGCUUUGUGUGAGGUCAUUGAUGUCUUUCAGUGGUCGCUGGAUGCCGUCAAAGAUGGAGCCCAUGACUCCUGGUCCCAACUCCACAGAGAGGGGUUUACCUGUGCGAAGAACUGGGUCACCCACCGACACCCCAGCUGUGAUGCACAGUCAAGGAAAGUGACUAACUGCUAAACCAGAUGACAAUAUAUACCAAAUUAAUACAGUAUUUGACUUGUGAGAAAUGUACAUUUUACAGCUUUAGUAACAUUUAAUGAGAAUGGCUUGCCAAGUGUUCCAGGGGAGCUAUUAGGGUAUAAAGUAUAAACAGGAUACAAGUCUCCUCAUAGACUUGGAUGGUGGCCAUGUCUCCUUCUAAACGGAUGAUCUCUCCCACCAGCUCACUGUGGCCGACACGGACCAACUCGUACAUGGCGGCUCCUGCCAUAGCAGUGGCUGUCACCACUAGAGAAAAGAAAGCAAAUAUUUAUGAGCAAACACAAUGGCCAAGUAUUUAAGAUAUAAUAUGGCACUUAUGACAUUAGGUUAUGAUUUAGGUUUAGCAAUGGAGCAUCUUACAUUUUGAAUAACAAUAAUAAUAAUAAUACGAAAAGAACAUUGACAUUAGAUUGUGUUUUUAAUCUAUUUCCAAAAGGUAAACCAAACCACACCUGGUCCCGAAACUCCAUGGACGUAUCCAAACUGGCUUUCUCGCUCCGCAUCCUGGAUCUUUGGAAGCUUUGAGGUAUCCAUCGCGACAGUUCCUCUUCUGAAAGAGCCAUUGAGACCUAUGAUGCUUCCACUCAGUCCCGAAAGGUGUGAUGGGACAGAUGGGGGAGGGAGAGGUGGCGGCGGUGGACCUGGUGGAGGAGCCACG
Hippocampus zosterae (dwarf seahorse) is the source of this 2861-nucleotide long non-coding RNA. RefSeq lists it as uncharacterized. The record is from RefSeq and is a predicted model, not a curated record. The transcript has 3 exons. Lineage: Eukaryota; Metazoa; Chordata; Actinopteri; Syngnathiformes; Syngnathidae.